UCUGAAGCGUUUCACAUUUUAAGUAAUAAACGCUUCUUAAUGCUCUUCUUGGUAGAAUGGAUCAUGUUUAGGGUUUCUUGCCUGAUAAUGUGACCUACAAUACUUUUAAUAAUGCGCAUUGCCGACUAGGCCUAUUAGGUCUAACUGUGGCCUAUGGCUGUGCCAUUCCUUGGAUGCAGAAUCUGCAGAUUAUUUUGUACCAGAACUGCAAAAUCCUUCUAAAGCAAUCUUAAUGGAGUUGUAGCCAUCUUUUGGGUGGAAGCAGGACAGAUUCAAUGUAAUAAUUGAACAGUUCUUUUUAAUGAAGGGAUCAAUUCACCUUUUCAUACACGUUUACAUUUCAGCAAUAUAUCGUCUACCAUUCAUAUUUAAUCAUUAUUGAUGUUUCAAAAAAUUAAUUGAAAUGAAUUAUGGAUAAUAUAGUGAUUAUGUAUGAAUCUUUACAUUGAUAAUAUCUAG
Lupinus albus (white lupine) is the source of this 459-nucleotide non-coding RNA. NCBI's taxonomy places the organism in Eukaryota, Viridiplantae, Streptophyta, Magnoliopsida, Fabales, Fabaceae. The record is from the annotation of a GenBank genome assembly.